This 408-nucleotide ribosomal RNA is filed under the name uncultured bacterium. RNAcentral describes it as "bacterial SSU rRNA". It matches the Rfam family "Bacterial small subunit ribosomal RNA", at positions 28 to 438 of the family's 1533-position model. The record is from RNAcentral.
GAUGAACGCUAGCGGCAGGCUUAACACAUGCAAGUCGAGGGGUAUUGGUUUUCGGACCAAGAGACCGGCGCACGGGUGCGUAACGCGUAUGCAAUCUACCUUUUGCAGAGGGAUAGCCCAGAGAAAUUUGGAUUAAUACCUCAUAGUAUAGUACUUUGGCAUCAAGGAACUAUUAAAGUCACAACGGCAAAAGAUGAGCAUGCGUCCCAUUAGCUAGUUGGUAAGGUAACGGCUUACCAAGGCUACGAUGGGUAGGGGUCCUGAGAGGGAGAUCCCCCACACUGGUACUGAGACACGGACCAGACUCCUACGGGAGGCAGCAGUGAGGAAUAUUGGACAAUGGGCGCAAGCCUGAUCCAGCCAUGCCGCGUGCAGGAUGACGGUCCUAUGGAUUGUAAACUGCUUUUU